Molecule: ribosomal RNA, 465 nt
Filed under: uncultured Klebsiella sp.
Lineage: Bacteria; Pseudomonadati; Pseudomonadota; Gammaproteobacteria; Enterobacterales; Enterobacteriaceae
Description: bacterial SSU rRNA
Rfam family: Bacterial small subunit ribosomal RNA
Source: RNAcentral
CCUACGGGAGGCUGCAGUGGGGAAUAUUGCACAAUGGGCGCAAGCCUGAUGCAGCCAUGCCGCGUGUGUGAAGAAGGCCUUCGGGUUGUAAAGCACCUUCAGCGGGGAGGAAGGCGGUGAGGUUAAUAACCUCAUCGAUUGACGUUACCCGCAGAAGAAGCACCGGCUAACUCCGUGCCAGCAGCCGCGGUAAUACGGAGGGUGCAAGCGUUAAUCGGAAUUACUGGGCGUAAAGCGCACGCAGGCGGUCUGUCAAGUCGGAUGUGAAAUCCCCGGGCUCAACCUGGGAACUGCAUUCGAAACUGGCAGGCUAGAGUCUUGUAGAGGGGGGUAGAAUUCCAGGUGUAGCGGUGAAAUGCGUAGAGAUCUGGAGGAAUACCGGUGGCGAAGGCGGCCCCCUGGACAAAGACUGACGCUCAGGUGCGAAAGCGUGGGGAGCAAACAGGAUUAGAUACCCGAGUAGUC